AUACGAAGGUGGCAAGCGUUAUUCGAAAUCACUGGGCUUAAAGGGCGCGUAGGCGGACAUGCAAGUGUCUUGUGAAAUCCCCCGGCUUAACCGGGGAAUUGCUCGGCAAACUGCAUGUCUUGAGUCAAGUAAGGGUGUGUGGAACUCCUGGUGGAGCGGUGGAAUGCGUAGAUAUCAAGAGGAACGCCGAAGGUGAAGACAGCACACUGGGCUUGAACUGACGCUGAGGCGCGAAAGCGUGGGGAGCAAACAGGAUUAGAUACCCUGGUAGUCCACGCCGUAAACGAUGUGUACUAGGUCGCGGAGGUUCUGACACCGUCGCGGUCGAAGCAAAAGUGUUAAGUACACCGCCUGGGGAGUACGGUCGCAAGGCUAAA
Molecule: ribosomal RNA, 377 nt
Filed under: uncultured bacterium
Lineage: Bacteria
Description: bacterial SSU rRNA
Rfam family: Bacterial small subunit ribosomal RNA
Source: RNAcentral